AUGUGCCGGCUCGUUAGAAACGGUCAACAUUUGUUUUUGAUCUUAAGCGUUUGACUUGCGUUGGUUGGGAUCGGUCGUUUUUGCGUUUGACGUGCAGGAAUGCCGUCCACAAGCGCGGCAAACGCCGUAACAGGGUGUUCCUUUUACGCACGCACACACUCUCAUUAGAUGGACGCCACAUGAAGUUCACCCACAAGCGAAAACAAACGGGCUGUUGUGCACUCAUUCUCCCCGCACACACAAACACACACACAUACACACCUACCCCCUCACCCCCUUCCCAACCGACACCCUCUGCUAUGUACUUGAGUCAUCGUCCUAAAAACAACACAGCAGCGAAACGAACUCCACUUUAUUACACUAGAAAGAACAGGGGUAUGAGCUUUUAAAGGAUUAAAAUAAGUAUUAAGUAUUUGUAUUUG
Molecule: non-coding RNA, 422 nt
Organism: Drosophila melanogaster (fruit fly)
Lineage: Eukaryota; Metazoa; Arthropoda; Insecta; Diptera; Drosophilidae
Source: Ensembl